Molecule: ribosomal RNA, 459 nt
Filed under: uncultured bacterium
Lineage: Bacteria
Description: partial 16S ribosomal RNA
Rfam family: Bacterial small subunit ribosomal RNA
Source: RNAcentral
CCUACGGGAGGCAGCAGUGAGGAAUAUUGGUCAAUGGACGGGAGCCUGAACCAGCCAAGUAGCGUGAAGGAAGAAGGCACUGAGUAUUGUAAACCUCUUUUGUCAGGGGACAAAGGCGGCCACGUGUGGCCGUAUGAGGGUACCUGGAGAAAAAGCAUCGGCUAAUUCCGUGCCAGCAGCCGCGGUAAUACGGAGGAUGCGGGCGUUAUCCGGAUUUAUUGGGUUUAAAGGGUGCGCAGGCGGCGUGUAAAGUCGGCGGUAAAAUGCCGGGGCUCAACCCGGGCCCGCCGUUGCAACUGGGGUGCUCGAGUUGGAGAGAAGUAUGCGGAAUUCGUGGUGUAGCGGUGAAAUGCAUAGAUAUCACGAAGAACCCCGAUUGCGAAGGCAGCAUACCGGCUCCACACUGACGCUGAGGCACGAAAGCGUGGGUAUCGAACAGGAUUAGAUACCCCUGUAGUC